RNAcentral lists this ribosomal RNA (406 nucleotides) under uncultured bacterium. RNAcentral's name for it is "partial 16S ribosomal RNA". It matches the Rfam family "Bacterial small subunit ribosomal RNA", at positions 30 to 526 of the family's 1533-position model. The record is from RNAcentral.
AUUGAACGCUGGCGGCAGGCCUAACACAUGCAAGUCGAGCGAGCGGCGGACGGGUGAGUAAUGUCUGGGAAACUGCCUGAUGGAGGGGGAUAACUACUGGAACCGGUAGCUAAAACCCCAUAUCACCAGAUGUGCACAGAUGGGAUUAGCUAGUAGGUGGGGUAACGGCUCACCUAGGCGACGAUCCCUAGCUGGUCUGAGAGGAUGACCAGCCAAACUGGAACUGAGACACGUUCCAGACUCCUACGGUAGGCAGCAGUGGGGAAUAUUGCACAAUGGGCGCAAGCCUGAUGCAGCCAUGCCGCGUGUGUGAAGAAGGCCUUCGGGUUGUAAAGCACUUUCAGCGGGGAGGCGUUACCCGCAGAAGAAGCACCGGCUAACUCCGUGCCAGCAGCCGCGGUAAUAC